This 464-nucleotide ribosomal RNA is filed under the name uncultured bacterium. RNAcentral describes it as "partial 16S ribosomal RNA". It matches the Rfam family "Bacterial small subunit ribosomal RNA", at positions 28 to 506 of the family's 1533-position model. The record is from RNAcentral.
GAUGAACGCUGGCGGCGUGCUUAACACAUGCAAGUCGAACGGAAAGGCUCCUGCUUGCCGGGGUUCUCGAGUGGCGAACGGGUGAGUAACACGUGGGUGAUCUGCCCUGCACUUCGGGAUAAGCCUUGGAAACUGGGUCUAAUACCGGAUAGGACGAUGGUUUGGAUGCCAUUGUGGAAAGUUUUUCGGUGUGGGAUGAGCUCGCGGCCUAUCAGCUUGUUGGUGGGGUAAUGGCCUACCAAGGCGUCGACGGGUAGCCGGCCUGAGAGGGUGUACGGCCACAUUGGGACUGAGAUACGGCCCAGACUCAUACGGGAGGCAGCAGUGGGGAAUAUUGCAAAAUGGGCGGAAGCAUGAUGCAGCGACGCCGCGUGGGGGAUGACGGCCUUCGGGUUGUAAACUCCUUUCGCUAGGGACGAAGCGCAAGUGACGGUACCUGGAGAAGAAGCACCGGCUAACUACGU